CUUACGGGCGGCUGCAGUAAGGAAUAUUGGUCAAUGGAGGAAACUCUGAACCAGCCAUCCCGCGUGAAGGAUGAAGGGGCUCUGCCUUGUAAACUUCUUUUGUCUGGGGCGAAAAAGCUCGAUUUAUCGAGAACUGACGGUACCAGAAGAAUAAGCACCGGCUAACUCCGUGCCAGCAGCCGCGGUAAUACGGAGGGUGCAAGAGUUAUCCGGAAUCACGGGUGUGAAGGCGGCUUUGUAAGGCUGUGUUGAAAGGCUGUGGCUUAACCAUGGAAUUGCCAUUGAUACUGCAGAGCUUGAAUGAGGUUGAGGUUGGCGGAAUGUGACAUGUAGCGGUGAAAUGCUUAGAUAUGUCAUGGAACACCGAUUGCGAAGGCAGCUGACUGGACCUAUAUUGACGCUGAGGCACGAAAGCGUGGGGAGCGAACAGGAUUAGAUACCCCAGUAGUC
RNAcentral lists this ribosomal RNA (450 nucleotides) under uncultured bacterium. Its description in RNAcentral is "partial 16S ribosomal RNA". It matches the Rfam family "Bacterial small subunit ribosomal RNA", at positions 338 to 795 of the family's 1533-position model. The record is from RNAcentral.